GUGAAGAACGUAGCGAAAUGCGAUAAGUAAUGUGAAUUGCAGAAUUCAGUGAAUCAUCGAAUCUUUGAACGCACAUUGCGCCCGCCAGCAUUCUGGCGGGCAUGCCUGUUCGAGCGUCAUUUCAACCCUCGCAGCCCAUCUGGGCAGCGGUGUUGGGGACCGGCACCACCGGCGAAGCCCUUAGGGGCCCAGCCGGCGCCGCCCCCGAAAUACAGUGGCGGUCUCGCUGCAGCCUCCCUUGCGUAGUAGCACACCUCGCACCGGAGCGCAGCGCGGCCACGCCGUAAAACCCCCGACUUUCUGAGUUUGACCUCGAAUCAGGUAGGAAUACCCGCUGAACUUAAGCAUAUCAAUAAGCGGAGGA
RNAcentral lists this unclassified non-coding RNA (364 nucleotides) under soil metagenome. Its description in RNAcentral is "partial contains 5.8S ribosomal RNA, internal transcribed spacer 2, and large subunit ribosomal RNA". The stretch from base 2 to 119 matches the Rfam family "5.8S ribosomal RNA", at positions 37 to 154 of the family's 154-position model. The record is from RNAcentral.